This 243-nucleotide long non-coding RNA is filed under the name Pan troglodytes (chimpanzee). RNAcentral describes it as "long non-coding RNA NONPTRT002555". Lineage: Eukaryota; Metazoa; Chordata; Mammalia; Primates; Hominidae. The record is from RNAcentral.
CCCCUAUGACAUCAUGUGUUAAUCUCAUCUCAGGACUGCAACCCAAGAUUGCAGUGAGUGGGAAGAUACAAUUUUUACAGCAUCACCAACAAGGAUAAGGUUAUUUGGCAAACACAUUUUGAGUUUCUCAGCUGAGCCAAAGGAAAUCAAGAAAUCUCCUGGAAUCAAGGAAAUCAAGGAAUCAAUUACUUACACCAUGCUGAGCAAGAGACAACAUGAAGGCAGAGGUAACAGUAAUCAGAC